Molecule: long non-coding RNA, 1023 nt
Organism: Carassius auratus (goldfish)
Lineage: Eukaryota; Metazoa; Chordata; Actinopteri; Cypriniformes; Cyprinidae
Exons: 3
Source: RefSeq, a predicted model, not a curated record
UUGAAAUUCAUCGCAUCUGGGAAAGAUAAAGACAUAUUUCAGUCAAGAGUCAAGAGAAAGAUUGUUGAUGAACAGAAAAGAGCAGAUUUGUGUGCAUUUGUGACCACAAACAUCACUACAGGAGAAGAAAUGAUGUUCGACUGUGGAGAUCCUGACAGCUCAUGGAGACAGGUAGCAGGAUGCUUGGUCCAUUACAGACGGAUGGGCAACACCCUCAUCAGACAACUACACCCUACACCAAGAAUCCACUUGGUCUGUCUCUACAUGUCAGAACGAGUAACUUCAGUCUUCAAUGGGAUAAAAGACAAAAAAAUAUCUUAAGCAGAAUGCUGAGCAAAUCAGUGGAAGAGCGUCCUACUAUUGAGGAAUGCCUUCAGGAAGUCAAAACUAUGUUUAAAGACUUAUUGUAGAGUUUACAAUAAGCAUUAAAAUGAUUAGAUAUAAAUACUGGUGUGAAUUUACAGGUUUUGAUCACUGGUCUUAUCAAAUAUGAACCACAAACAGCUACAGCAAUGUCCAUGUGGUUUCAGGAAAUAGUGACACAAAUGAUGAUCUUUCUGAAAUAAGGGCAGCCAUCUCAGAACAGACUUCAGACUUCAGUCUUGGACACAUCAGUAAAUCACUAGUGCCAUUAAAUCAAAACGGUAUGAUCCAUUCACCAUAAACAAUACUGAAGAGCUGAAGAUCAUUGUCUUUUCAUGUUUUCAACUUUGUAAAGUAUGUAUUACUGACAUUACAUUUUUUUCAUUCAUUCAUAUAUUUAUUCACUAUAUAUAUUUUUUAUCUUUUAAUUUUGUUAAAUAGCAAGAGCCAGAAAGCCCUGGUCAGAAACAGAGAGGAAAGUCAUGGAACACUGUUUCAAGAUCUACUUUGAGGAAAUGAAGGUUCCUGGAAAAGUGGACUGUGAAAGAUGCAUAAAUGCAAACAGGAUUCUAAAGGAUAAUGGAAGAGACUGGAAAACAGUUAAAUACUUUGUGCUCAACAGAAUAAUUUCAGUUAAGAGAAGUUUGGGUCAACAGUACU